ACAGAUAAAGGCGCAAAUCAUGACGAUUCAACCUCAGAAUCAACAAAAUAUAAUUUAUAAAGCCAUUAAAGAGUAAACAAUUGAACGAAUAAGUACAUACAAUUUCAUAUGAUGCAUCUUCAACAAAAAUAAACAAAUCUCAGAGUAACACACUCAUCUACCAUAACUUAAAACUGAAAAUUCCAUAAAUAUAUUCAUAAAUCACAUAUAGACAAAUAUCAGAGAAACACUAACGACUAUGUUAUAACUUCAACUGGAAAUCCUAUGAACAUACAAAUCACAUACUUUCAACAUAAAACAAAGACAAAUCUAUGACGAUUUAGCCUCAACUUAAACCGAAAGUCACAUAAAUAUAUAAAUCUCAUAUCAUCAACAUGAUGGAACAAAUCUAAGAGACAUACACACUAGUUUCCACAAAUUACUAACAAAACACAAAUCUAUUCCAGAUUUUCGCUUCAAUAUCAUACAAUCUGAAACAAAAUUCAAUCUCAUAUAAUCAACAUGAUGAUCAAAUCUAAGAGAAAUAGAUACUAAUUUUCACAUAUCAGUAACAAACCACAAAUCUAUUACCAGAUUUUCUCAUCGACCUAAAACAAAAUUCAAUCUCAUUACAUCAACAUGCAAUAAACAAAUCUUAGAGAAAUACAUACUAGUUUUCACAAAUUAGUAUCAAAACACAAAUCUAUAACCAGAUUUUCGCAUCAAUAUCAUAUAAUAUGAAACAAAAACUCAACAAAAUGAAAAGAAAUACAUUAGAUCUAACCUUUUCUGAGCUUUGCUAAAACCCUGGCUGCGUAUAGAGAAUAACAACACAAACCACAAGUAGGGUUUCAAGCGAGGUAUGAAGGGACUUUUUAUAGUGGUGAGAGCACAUCAGCUAGGGCUUUCUGUGCG
Molecule: long non-coding RNA, 894 nt
Filed under: Solanum lycopersicum (tomato)
Lineage: Eukaryota; Viridiplantae; Streptophyta; Magnoliopsida; Solanales; Solanaceae
Description: partial TCONS_00199317
Source: RNAcentral